GGGUGGGGUAGGCGGGGAGAGCUGCCACUGGAUCUGCUUAAUCUGGAACCAGGGUCAAAGCAGUGACUGUCGGAAGCCACCAGGCCAAGAUGUCUUUCUAUCAUGGCUGGUGUCUUAUCACCAUACCCAGAGAGGGCUUCCCUUGGAGCUCUAGAAAGACGAUGACAGCAAAAAGAAACUGUUCUGUUGAUGGCUCUGGAGAGGCCCCCUGGAACUCUAGUUCUCAGCAGCCAACUCUGGUGAUGGAGGAUGGGAUUUAAAUGGUGGACACCUAAAGGAGAAGAAAGCACAAAAGAUGUGUUUCUUUAAGAAGAGGGCAGUUGGACUUCCCUGGUGGUACAGUGAAUAAGAAUCCACUGGGGACAUGGGCUCGAUUCCUAGUCUGAGAAGAUUCCACAUGCCAUGGGCAACUAAAGCUUUUGUACCACAACUACUGAGCUCUAGGGCCAGAGAGCCACAGCUAAUGAGCCUCUGUGCUGAAGCCCUCGAAUCCUAGAGCCUGCCUGCUGCUAAUACUGAAGCCGGUGUGCCUAGAGCCUGUGCUCCGCAAGGAAGAGCAGCCCCUGCUCGCUGCAGCUAGUGAAAGCCCUUGCACAGAAAUGAAGAUCCUGUGCAACGAAAAAUAAAUAAUAAUGAAAAAAAGGAAAAAACCAGUUAUUUCAAAUUUGCUGGCCUCUUGCUUGUGACUGUCUGUGUGUGUGAGCUCACACGGAAGCACACACACAUCCCCACACCCACUCCCCCCUGCACACACAUAUAUAUACACACACACACACACACAAUGUAUCCCUUCAGGUAAAGGUGAUGUUUUGGGAGUUAAUAUGACUGUGCUUUAAAAUAAUCAUGUUAUGGGGAAAGCAUUUUGAAAAUUGAUGUUUGGAACUGUUUCUAUUAUUAUGUGAUUUUAAUGCCAAAAUGAAGUGUCUCAUUGCCAACUAUAGAGACUGGCAUAGCCACAGCCUCCAAAAUUAAGAAGUACACUUUUAAAACCCAUUUUGCAUUCUUCCAAAUGAAGAGUUUCUGGAGUUUAAAAAAUCCCAUUGUUAAAAAUAUCCCCAGAAACAACUGAUGAAAAUGAAACGGCUUCUAAAACAUCAACCAGCUUAUACUGGUUUUUGCCUCCCCAACCAGCUUAAACUGGUUCUGCUUCCUUCAAAUAAGUUCAUUAAUCAAACCUUGACUUAUUUUACAGAGACAACAGUGCAAGAUGGGAAACCAUCUCUCCAGGAUGACCCCCAACCAAGAAUCUUCAGUCUACAGAACUCAAAGAAUCAAAAGGUUGCCACUGGAACCCUUAACAAAGCAAAGAACUAAGUCAUUCAAUAAGGAAAACCUGGCUUCCAGUAGCAUGACUAGCUUAUAUGUUCUGAUUCAAGACUAGCCAAUCAGCUUCCAAGUUUGAAAUUCCCCUAACCCCUUAAAUUUUAUUUAAACCAACCCUGGAUCAUGGAGACAGAUUUGAGAGCUUUGUCUCCUGUCUCUCUGCUGGUUAACCUCACAAUAAAGAUUUUUUUCCCCCUCAAAACCAGUGACAUAUUAUUGGCUACUAUACACAUCAGGCAUUGAACACUUGCUUGAUAACAAAAACAUCAGGAAUGAAGGCUUCAUGGACAAAGAAGGGUUUUCUGGGGGAACGUCACAUUUGCAAAACUGAUAUUAGAUGGAAUUUAAGCAGUGAGAAUUAUGGUUUAAUAAGUGUAGUGAAAGAUAAAAUUCUUCUAUUUGGGUGUAUUUAUCUUUGUGAGGUUUUUGUUUUGCAAUAAUAGCCAUUAGGACUAAGUAUUGACAUUAAUUGAACUUAAAAGCAUACUUUCUAGUCUCAUAAAAUAUUAAAG
Molecule: long non-coding RNA, 1835 nt
Organism: Bos taurus (domestic cattle)
Lineage: Eukaryota; Metazoa; Chordata; Mammalia; Artiodactyla; Bovidae
Source: Ensembl